RNAcentral lists this ribosomal RNA (218 nucleotides) under uncultured bacterium. RNAcentral describes it as "partial 16S ribosomal RNA". It matches the Rfam family "Bacterial small subunit ribosomal RNA", at positions 524 to 744 of the family's 1533-position model. The record is from RNAcentral.
UACGGAGGGGCUAGCGUUGUUCGGAAUUACUGGGCGUAAAGCGCACGUAGGCGGACUCUUAAGUCGGUGGUGAAUCCUGGAGCUCAACUCCAGAACUGCCUUCGAUACUGGGAGUCUCGAGUCCGGGAGAGGUGAGUGGAACUGCGAGUGUAGAGGUGAAAUUCGUAGAUAUUCGCAAGAACACCAGUGGCGAAGGCGGCUCACUGGCCGGUACUGAC